This 229-nucleotide ribosomal RNA is filed under the name uncultured bacterium. Its description in RNAcentral is "partial 16S ribosomal RNA". It matches the Rfam family "Bacterial small subunit ribosomal RNA", at positions 568 to 796 of the family's 1533-position model. The record is from RNAcentral.
UGCGCAGGCGGUAUGAUUAGUCAGUGGUGAAAGCCCUCGGCUCAACCGAGGAACUGCCAUUGAUACUGUCAUUCUUGAGUACAGUUGUAGUGGGCGGAAUGUGUCAUGUAGCGGUGAAAUGCAUAGAGAUGACACAGAACACCGAUCGCGAAGGCAGCUCACUAAGCUGAAACUGACGCUCAGGCACGAAAGCGUGGGUAGCAAACAGGAUUAGAUACCCUGGUAGUCC